UUUAUUAUUUGUUGGGUCAUCUUAUAUUUAGCUAAAGAGCUCAUUAUCAAAACUAUGAAGCCCAUCAUAAUUAAUAAUCGGUGAUCAUCUGAAACGCUGCAAUCACUUUCUUUUCCAUUUAACUUUCGGUUUACCCUGUCUCCUCAUCUCCUUCUCUUUCUCAGCCUCUGAUAAACGUUCAUCUCUCAACCAUUGCAAUGAGUGAUCCCUUCACAUUAAACUCGCUUUACUAUCAAAGCCUGAAGCAUUGUAUAACCGAAAAACACAUGAAAACCUAUAAAUAUAUGAGGGUUGAGAUUGGAAUAUAUCAUCUAAUACACAGGCUUUGAGAUUCUCUUACGUCUAACCCUAGAUCACUCCUUUGAAAAUUUCUUCCUCAGUUCUUCCGAUGCAAUUGUUUCUCAAUCUGAUACUCCCCCCCACGCCCCCCCCCCCACAA
Molecule: long non-coding RNA, 439 nt
Filed under: Brassica napus (rape)
Lineage: Eukaryota; Viridiplantae; Streptophyta; Magnoliopsida; Brassicales; Brassicaceae
Description: long non-coding RNA (BNAP_LNC001713)
Source: RNAcentral